RNAcentral lists this long non-coding RNA (737 nucleotides) under Monodelphis domestica (gray short-tailed opossum). RNAcentral describes it as "lncRNA (ENSMODG00000032757.2)". Lineage: Eukaryota; Metazoa; Chordata; Mammalia; Didelphimorphia; Didelphidae. The record is from RNAcentral.
CUUUGAAAUUGGCUCCUUCCUAACUUUUCAAGAUUCUUACAUCUUACUCCUCUCACCUUGCCCCAACGGCACAUUUGGUGAGCCAGUGACAUUGGCAUCCUUACUCUUCUUCACCAUCUUCCAACUCUGGAUACAUUCAUUGCUGGGAUUAAUGUUGGACACUUCUUCCACUGGGAAAGAUCCAAUUGGUCUAUGACUUGUUGAUAUCAGUAGAUAAUAAGCCAUGGGUGGCUUAGUAAGCCACUCCUAGGGAUAUUCCCAGGGCAUAUUAAAAUUAAGGGACUUGCUCAGAGGCACACAACUAAUAAGAUUUUGAGGUGUGACUUCAAUUAUAACUUUAUUAUAUUAUGAUUAAAAUUCUCUGGAGACUGUCAAUUAAUAAUUAUUUAUUAGGUAGUAAAGGUUAGAGUAAGAGAGAGGUAGUCACAUAAUCACCUGGCGCCACUUAACUAAUCUGAGUUUGCACACUUGUCUCUGCUCAUUAGCCAAAAGCUGAUGUCUAGGAAAAGUCUCCAGACUGAGAGAGCCAAGAGCCAAAAAAUCCCCCACAGGACAUAUUUACUUUCUUAAUGCCCUCUUUUAUAAAGUCAUUGAUGCCACUCCUUCUGAAUUUCCCUGUUUGAACAGAUUUAACCUCAUCCAGGUCAGAGGCCAGUCUUUUGGACAUCAGGAAUCACCAGGGAUAAGAGGCUGACAUUUACAUGACAUACUAUGCGUCUCAUCUCGUCCAUCUUUCU